GACGAACGCUGGCGGCGUGCUUAACACAUGCAAGUCGAACGGAAAGGCCCUGCUUUUGUGGGCUGCUCGAGUGGCGAACGGGUGAGUAACACGUGAGUAACCUGCCCUUGACUUUGGGAGGACUUCAUGAAACUUGGUCUAUUACCGGAUAGGAUCUCCUGCUUCAUGGUGGGGGUUGGAAAGUUUCGGCGGUUGGGCAUGGACUCGCGGCUUAUCAGCUUGUUGGUUGGGUAGUGGCUUACCAAGGCUUUGACGGGUAGCAGGCCUGAGAGGGUGACCGGCCACAUUGGGCCUGAGAUACGGCCCAGCCUAGUCCGGGAGGCAGGAGUGGGGAAUAGAGUACAGUGGGAGGAAGGAUGGUGCAGUCCAGCCGCGCGGGGGAUGACGGCAAUGGGGUAGUAUAGCGAAUUCGCUUGUCACGAAGCGUGAGUGACGGUAACGGGUAAAGAAGCACCGGCUAACUACGUG
Molecule: ribosomal RNA, 468 nt
Filed under: uncultured bacterium
Lineage: Bacteria
Description: partial 16S ribosomal RNA
Rfam family: Bacterial small subunit ribosomal RNA
Source: RNAcentral